Molecule: long non-coding RNA, 756 nt
Organism: Rhagoletis pomonella (apple maggot)
Lineage: Eukaryota; Metazoa; Arthropoda; Insecta; Diptera; Tephritidae
Exons: 4
Source: RefSeq, a predicted model, not a curated record
CAGUGAGGAAGUGCGGUAAAAAAUAAAUAACCUCACUGGGAAAUAUAGGAAAGAAAAGGGGAAUAUUGGUGUGUCAGGUGGAUCACCAUCAGACUGGCCACACUAUCAGCGAGUACAUGCCAUUAUAGGUGGUUUUAAAUGCAAUAACAUAGAAGAACUUGUUGAAGAAAGUGUAUCCAUAGAGUAUUUAUUUAACACUCCAUCGUCGGAAGUACUGGACAUUUCUGGGGCUUCCUGCUCUGACUCCCUCGCUCCGGUAGAGGUCGAGUGUGCUAGAUGCUCCAAAUCGAAAAAGCAGAAGUUAAACGCAAGUCUCAUAACGGAAAUUCAAGAGACGAAAGAGCUAAUAAAAACAAUGCAUCAGGAAGAAAACGUUAUCGAUUCAAAAUUAGUUAAUAUAGAGGAGCGACGGAAUGUUUUGUUAGAAGAAUUUCUUUGAGAUGACCAAAUGCAUUCUCGACUACCCUUCUGCACUUAGACAGGGCAUAAUUAAAGUUUUUUUCACUGAAGCUAGCAUUCUCUCUAUAUGGAUAAGGUUUCAUUAAUAUGUCCGAAAACCGAAAAGCUGAAUCUCCAAGCAUUACAACUGGAACGUUAACUCCGUUUAUUUGCGUAGACAAGUGCGUAAGGAUAGGGUUUUGAUGAUGCUGUUUCAAAGCAGAUUUCUCGAAAAUGUGGGAAUCGUUGCACCGUCCAGGGGUGCCUACGUUUAUAUACAUAAAUCUGUACCUAUAAUAAACAAUGUGAGCAUUUACU